GGGUUUGGUGGACAGGGCUGAGGGUAAGUGGAGGGCUUGUGCUCAGUGCACAGGCCUCCGUCCGUGAGGAGACUCUGUUGGGCCCACGUGGGGCAGAACCCAGGCAGAUGCCCCGAUUCUGAGCUAAAGUCGGGAGAGGAAGGCACUCUGGGCCGUCUCCUUUGGGAACAGCUAAGAGUAUUUUCUAUGAGGGAGGAACGAUGAAAAGGCAUCCCGUGACCAGAAGGACAGUCUCUAGCAGAAACCAUCAAUGAUUUCCACACAUCCGAGGCCUUGGCUCCCUGGUUGUGGCUGCACCUAGUUCCCAGUUGACGUGCAACCCCACGUGGCCACGCAGCUGAGCUUCAGGGAGGCUGUGAACGCCCAGCUCGGCUCAGGGCCAUGGAGGUGGUUGGGGCGCAGGGAUUCAGCUCGGCCCAGGGCAGUGGAGGUGGCCGGGGCGCAGGGAUUCAGCCGCCUUAGAGCGCGCCAGACAUUAGCCCCAGGCUGAGUGUUUUCCACAGAGAAUGCUAUUAACAGGAUCCCAGCUUUUGCCUCUCUGAGAGAUGGCAUGAAGGAGCCCACAGCCUCGUUGCACCAGGUGGCCCUGGCAAGGUGCAGCUUUGGGCUGUUUCUGCCGAGGCGGAGGCCUUCUCGCCCUGGUUGAACGGCUCGCAGGAUGAGGAAUCACCGCACCUGCCGCGUAAGAGCCGCUUGCAAGUUAAAUGGGGUGAACCUUUGAAGGACCUGCUGCGUUUUGGAUCCAGAGUUGGUUGAACACAAACUUUGGUGAGCCAACCGUCCCUGCUGUGGGGUGCAGCACGCAUGUGGACCACAGACUCACGGACACACACACACACGCUGGGGGAGCGUCGGCCCCACUCGAUGGUGACAAGUGUGCUCACACCCCGUUGCUAGAGCCUCCAGGGACCCUGCUUGGGAAGCCAGUCAUGACAGAGGCACCAAGAGGGCAGCCACAGCCCC
Molecule: long non-coding RNA, 963 nt
Filed under: Homo sapiens (human)
Lineage: Eukaryota; Metazoa; Chordata; Mammalia; Primates; Hominidae
Description: HSALNT0131887
Source: RNAcentral